RNAcentral lists this ribosomal RNA (462 nucleotides) under uncultured bacterium. RNAcentral describes it as "bacterial SSU rRNA". It matches the Rfam family "Bacterial small subunit ribosomal RNA", at positions 28 to 507 of the family's 1533-position model. The record is from RNAcentral.
GACGAACGCUGGCGGCGUGCCUAACACAUGCAAGUCGAACGGGGUGAAGCCCUUCGGGACUUCACUUAGUGGCGAACGGGUGAGUAACGCGUGAGGAACCUGCCUUUCAGUGGGGGACAACAGUUGGAAACGACUGCUAAUACCGCAUGAUACUUUUCGAUGGCAUCAUCGAAAAGUCAAAGAUUUAUUGCUGAAAGAUGGCCUCGCGUCUGAUUAGCUAGUUGGUGGGGUAACGGCCCACCAAGGCGACGAUCAGUAGCCGGUCUGAGAGGAUGAACGGCCACAUUGGGACUGAGAUACGGCCCAGACUCCUACGGAAGGCAGCAGUGGGGAAUAUUGGGCAAUGGGCGAAAGCCUGACCCAGCGACGCCGCGUGAGUGAAGAAGUAUUUCGGUAUGUAAAGCUCUAUCAGCAGGGAAGAUAAUGACGGUACCUGACUAAGAAGCCCCGGCUAACUACGUG